This 521-nucleotide ribosomal RNA is filed under the name Litostylus sp. 1 AMV2011a. RNAcentral describes it as "eukaryotic LSU rRNA". It matches the Rfam family "Eukaryotic large subunit ribosomal RNA", at positions 602 to 910 of the family's 3401-position model. The record is from RNAcentral. Lineage: Eukaryota; Metazoa; Arthropoda; Insecta; Coleoptera; Curculionidae.
UCUCACGUUCGAACCCGCGUGUCCCGGCUGACUCGCUCGACGGUAUACGAAAGGUUUAAGGCCGCUCUCUCGGAGCGUUCGACUCAUUGCAAGCACGUCGGAUGAUUGUCGGCGAUCGGACCUAGUGCCGAUUCUGACCUCCGGCGACUGUUGGCCGUGAAGUUCUCGAACAGACCUUAAGAUCGAUCUGCGACGCUAUAGCUUUGGGUACUUUCAGGACCCGUCUUGAAACACGGACCAAGGAGUCUAGCAUGUGCGCGAGUCAUUGGGAAUCACUAAACCUAAAGGCGCAAUGAAAGUAAAAGUCCGCCUAGCGCGGACUUAGGGAAGACGGGCGGUUUACCCUUAAAAGUAGCCGCUCUGCACUCCCGGGGCGUCUCAUUCUCAUCGCGAGAAGAGGCGCACCAAGAGCGUACACGCUGGGACCCGAAAGAUGGUGAACUAUGCCUGGUCAGGACGAAGUCAGGGGAAACCCUGAUGGAGGUCCGUAGCGAUUCUGACGUGCAAAUCGAUCCUCGGAA